AUUAGAGUUUGAUCCUGGCUCAGGACAAACGCUGGCGGCGUGCCUAACACAUGCAAGUCGAACGCCCUGCGCAAGCAGGGAGUGGCGGACGGGUGAGUAACACGUGGGCUACCUACCUUUCGGUGAGGAAUACCGGCGAGAAAUCGCCGACAAUACCGCAUACGCUUCUUUCACGAGAAGCAAAGUCGCAAGACGCCGAAUGAUGGGCCUGCGUCCGAUUAGCCAGUUGGUGGGGUCACGGCUCACCAAAGCGACGAUCGGUAGCUGGUCUGAGAGGACGAUCAGCCACACUGGGAUUGAGAACGGCCCAGACUCCUACGGGGGGCAGCAGUGAGGAAUCUUCGUCAAUGGGGGCAACCCUGAACGAGCAACGCCGCGUGCAGGAGGACGGUUUUCGGAUCGUAAACUGCUUUUCUCGGGGACGACACAAAGGACGGUACCCGAGGAACAAGCCCCGGCUAACUACGUGCCAGCAGCCGCGGUAAUACGUAGGGGGCGAGCGUUGUCCGGAGUUACUGGGCGUAAAGCGCGCGCAGGCGGUCCAUUAAGUCUGGAGUGACAGUUCCCAGCUUACCUGGGAAAGGUCUUCGGAAACUGGUGGACUUGAGGGACUCAGAGGGAGACGGAAUUCCAGGUGGAGCGGUGAAAUGCGUAGAGAUCUGGAGGAACACCAAAGGCGAAGGCAGUCUCCUGGGAGUUUCCUGACGCUCAGGCGCGAAAGCCAGGGGAGCGAACGGGAUUAGAUACCCCGGUAGUCCUGGCCGUAAACGAUGACCACCAGGCGUGGGAGGGAUCGACCCCUUCCGUGCCGGCGCUUACGCUUUGAGUGGUCCGCCUGGGGAGUACGGUCGCAAGAUUAAAACUCAAAGGAAUUGACGGGGACCCGCACAAGCAGCGGAGCGUGUGGUUUAAUUCGACGCAACGCGAAGAACCUUACCAAAGCUUGACAUGCACUCGCACCAGCCGUAAUGGGCUCUUCCUUCGGGACGGGUGUGCAGGUGCUGCAUGGCUGUCGUCAGCUCGUGUCGUGAGAUGUUGGGUUCAGUCCCGCAACGAGCGCAACCCCUGUCGCUAGUUGAAUGUUCUAGCGAGACCGCCGUCUCAAAACGGAGGAAGGUGGGGAUGACGUCAAGUCAGCACGGCCCUGACGCUUUGGGCGACACACACGCUACAAUGGCCGGGACAAUGGGUUGCCAACCCGCGAGGGGGAGCCAAUCCCACAAACCCGGUCUCAGUUCGGAUUGUAGGCUGCAACUCGCCUGCAUGAAGUCGGAGUUGCUAGUAACCGCAAGUCAGCACAUUGCGGUGAAUACGUUCCCGGGUCUUGUACACACCGCCCGUCACACCACGAAAGUUGACAACACCUGAAGCCGCCGGGCUAACCCGCAAGGGGGGCAGGCGUCGAGGGUGGGGCCAAUGAUUGGGGUGAAGUCGUAACAAGGUAGCCGUAAAUC
Molecule: ribosomal RNA, 1454 nt
Filed under: uncultured Ktedonobacteria bacterium
Lineage: Bacteria; Bacillati; Chloroflexota; Ktedonobacteria
Description: bacterial SSU rRNA
Rfam family: Bacterial small subunit ribosomal RNA
Source: RNAcentral